Pogona vitticeps (central bearded dragon) is the source of this 2006-nucleotide long non-coding RNA. NCBI's taxonomy places the organism in Eukaryota, Metazoa, Chordata, Lepidosauria, Squamata, Agamidae. The record is from Ensembl.
CAAGUCUGCACUCUCACUAGAAGCUAAAAAAUAUCUGAACAGGGGCUAUAGUACUUCGGAGAUACGGUGAGAAAAACAAAAUUCCCUGGCAAAAGAUCGUAAGCAGAAGGCGUUAGGAAACGAGGACAAGCACAGGUAUGAGAUGGAGUGACUCCACAAAGGAAACUACGGCCUUGCCUUUGCAAGACCUGAGCUGGACUGUUACGGAUCAGACCUUUCGGAGAGAAUUCACCCCUGGGAGUCGCGAAGGCUACGCACGACCACCAAAGGAUACAGUAUUAAGCAGGAGGAGGCUUAAUACGCCCCCCGCCAAAGACGGGAAGGUGGGUGGGGAACAGACGAAUCCGGAUGGGUUUGUCUUGCCAGGAAUCUGGCGUGGCUUCAGUCACGUGACGAGGAAACGUCACAAAUUGAAAUCCAGAUAACAGGAGGAAAAGUGGGGAUCGUGGGGGACCUUUGGCGAGCGACGGGCAGAGGCCGGAGCAGGGCUCCUGGGAGUCGCGAAGGAGAAGGGAAAGGCACGGAUGCAAGAUCGAGGUGGAGGAGAAACGGGAUUGCCCGGUGGGGAGGAAAAUCGGAGGGUGGGUUUCCUGGCCGGGGAAACGUCUGAACGGGCCAUUUUGCUGGGAAGAAGGACGGGAGAAGGAGGUGUCGAGACAGGCGGAUUUCUCGGAGCCACUGGGAGCCGGGCUGCGAGUGCAAAGAGUGCAAAGUCCCACCGACUCCUAAAGGAUUUCUACUCUUCAAUCCUUACUAGGAGUUUGUGGAUUGAGCGAGGCCCACCCCGGUUCCCAUCAUCUCAUUUUAGGAAAAAUGGAGGUUAUGUUGGAGGACAACACAGGUAAGGGAACAAAACCACAAGCAAUCGUAAUUAUGUACUUGCAUUAAACUAGAAUAUGGAAUGUCAGUUUUUUACAAGUACAGGUGGAUCAAGCCAAAGGCCUAGUCCAGCUUCCUGUAUUUCACAGGAGCCCCACCAGAUCCUCUGGGAGCACACGAGACCACUGGAUACCCGUCUCCUGAUGCCCCUCCCCUGCAUCUGGCAUUUGAAGGUACCUUCCUUUUAAGCCUGGAGAUUAUACAUCCCCAUCAUCAUGGCUUGUAACCUGCUAUGACCUUUUCCUCCAGAAAUCUGUCCAAUCCCCUUUUAAAGGCAUCAAGGCCAAAUGCCAUCACCACAUCCUGUGGCAAGGAGUUCCAUAGACUAACGACAUGCUGGGUAAAGAAAGUAAUUUGUUCUUGCUUUCUGGUAUUCUGUAUGCUUCUUCCUAAGGCAAAUAAUAUAGGCAUCCUUCAGUUUCAAUAGACUAUGGGGAGGAUAGUCUGUUACCCAAGCAGCAGAUUCCCCCUCUCCACAUCACUGAAAUAGUCCAAUGGAAAGGCAAGAGCCAAUACAGCUGGUUCCAGCGACUGCAAAGAAAGAAGGCAAAAAACCCCUCAACUUUCUUUGUGUCCAGACGAUGCACAAACAUGUCGAAGAAGGCAUUCCUCUUAGUAAAGGCAUCCCCUCUCCUGCCCUUCUCUCUAGGAUGGAAGGCUCUGUUUGCUCUCUGCUGUUUUCAAAGUACUUCCAGCAAUAAGGGUUUAACAAUUUUUUAAAAUCUUGUGAACAGUUUUUUUUAAAUCUCUUGAAUAGUUACACAAGAGGAGGAUAGGAUAGCUGAGUUGGAAGGGGCUUAUAAGGCCAUCGAAUCCAACCUCCUGCUCAAGGCAGGGAUCCCGAGUCAAAGCAGGUCUGACAGAUAGUUGUCCAGUUUUGUCUUGAAUGCCUCCAUUAUUGGAGCACUCACCACCUCCUGAGGCAAUGGGUUCCGUUGUCGUACUGCUCUAACAGCACAGGAGGGGGUACCUUCCUAUGUUAAUGUAGCGUAAUUCUCUGAAGCUGAUAGUUGUAGCCAGUUCAUUGAGACACAACUGCAGUCCUGCUGACCACCUUUUCUUGCCUGUUCCUCUCAAUUCAGGUUUUUCUAACAUUACAAUAAAGCAGGAAGAAGAAGAAGAAGACA